This is a long non-coding RNA of Capsella rubella, 449 nucleotides long. RefSeq lists it as uncharacterized. NCBI's taxonomy places the organism in Eukaryota, Viridiplantae, Streptophyta, Magnoliopsida, Brassicales, Brassicaceae. The record is from RefSeq and is a predicted model, not a curated record. The transcript is spliced from 2 exons.
UUUUAUGUGUUUAUCAUAUCCGCCGCUCUAUAUUUUUUUUCUUAAACAUAGCAAAAACAAAUCCUUAAAAAGUUUGGGAUGGACGCUUCAACGAAGAAACCACAAAUCCGAUUUAGUUCUUUUAAAUUCUUAAAAAGUUCGGGAUGAACGUAUCAACGAAGAAACCACGAAUCUCAUUUGAUUCUUUUGCAGAGGGACCACUCGUACUAGGGCUUGUAUUGUUGUAUCAUGCUUCAGUGAGGAAAGGACGUGACUCAGGUUGACGAGUCUUUCUAGGGAUAACUAAUCAGUAAUAAAGGAGGUCUUAGGUGGCGAAUACAAACAAGCCAAAUACUUCCCUCAUAAACAGGACAAGAACCAAAUAAGGUUUAUGUAAAUGUAAGCCAUUCAAACUAUAUACACAAGUAAAUAAAACCAAGAUUUUAGUUAAAAGCGAUCAUUUCCACUUC